CAGCAGCCGCGGUAAUACGAAGGGGGCUAGCGUUGUUCGGAUUUACUGGGCGUAAAGGGCGCGUAGGCGGACUGAUUAGUCAGGGGUGAAAUCCCAAGGCUCAACCUUGGAACUGCCUUUGAUACUGUUUGUCUUGAGUUCGAGAGAGGUAAGUGGAACUGCGAGUGUAGAGGUGAAAUUCGUAGAUAUUCGCAAGAACACCAGUGGCGAAGGCGGCUUACUGGCUCGAAACUGACGCUGAGGCGCGAAAGCGUGGGGAGCAAACAGGAUUAGAUACCCCCGUAGUCCCUGUCUCUUAUAC
This 301-nucleotide ribosomal RNA is filed under the name uncultured bacterium. RNAcentral's name for it is "partial 16S ribosomal RNA". It matches the Rfam family "Bacterial small subunit ribosomal RNA", at positions 509 to 807 of the family's 1533-position model. The record is from RNAcentral.